AACGGUAACAUAGAGAAGCUUGCUUCUUUGAUGACGAGUGGCGCACGGGUGCGUAACGCGUAUACAAUCUGCCUCUUACAGGGGGAUAGCCUUUGGAAACGAAGAAUAAUACCCCAUAGUAUGUAGAUAUCGCAUGGUAAUUACAUUAAAGAUUUAUCGGUAAGAGAUGAGUAUGCGUCCUAUUAGCUAGAUGGUGUGGUAACGGCACACCAUGGCAACGAUAGGUAGGGGCCCUGAGAGGGGGAUCCCCCACACUGGUACUGAGACACGGACCAGACUCCUACGGGAGGCAGCAGUGAGGAAUAUUGGACAAUGGGCGCGAGCCUGAUCCAGCCAUGCCGCGUGCAGGAAGACUGCCCUAUGGGUUGUAAACUGCUUUUAUACGGGAAGAAACCCACCUACGUGUAGGUGGCUGACGGUACCGUAAGAAUAAGCAUCGGCUAACUCCGUGCCAGCAGCCGCGGUAAUACGGAGGAUGCAAGCGUUAUCCGGAAUCAUUGGGUUUAAAGGGUCCGUAGGUGGACAAUUAAGUCAGAGGUGAAAUCCUGCAGCUCAACUGUAGAAUUGCCUUUGAUACUGGUUGUCUUGAAUUAUUGUGAAGUGGUUAGAAUAUGUAGUGUAGCGGUGAAAUGCAUAGAUAUUACAUAGAAUACCAAUUGCGAAGGCAGAUCACUAACAAUAUAUUGACACUGAUGGACGAAAGCGUGGGGAGCGAACGGGAUUAGAUACCCCGGUAGUCCACGCCGUAAACGAUGGUCACUAGCUGUUCGGAUUUCGGUCUGAGUGGCUAAGCGAAAGUGAUAAG
This 805-nucleotide ribosomal RNA is filed under the name Thalassobius sp. 7PSW-20. RNAcentral's name for it is "bacterial SSU rRNA". It matches the Rfam family "Bacterial small subunit ribosomal RNA", at positions 65 to 864 of the family's 1533-position model. The record is from RNAcentral. Lineage: Bacteria; Pseudomonadati; Pseudomonadota; Alphaproteobacteria; Rhodobacterales; Roseobacteraceae.